Molecule: ribosomal RNA, 505 nt
Filed under: uncultured bacterium
Lineage: Bacteria
Description: bacterial SSU rRNA
Rfam family: Bacterial small subunit ribosomal RNA
Source: RNAcentral
CUACGUGCCAGCAGCCGCGGUAAUACGGAAGGUCCAGGCGUUAUCCGGAUUUAUUGGGUUUAAAGGGAGUGUAGGCGGUUUGUUAAGCGUGUUGUGAAAUUUAGGUGCUCAACAUUUAACUUGCAGCGCGAACUGUCAGACUUGAGUACACGCAACGUAUGCGGAAUUCAUGGUGUAGCGGUGAAAUGCUUAGAUAUCAUGAAGAACUCCGAUUGCGAAGGCAGCAUACGGGAGUGUAACUGACGCUUAAGCUCGAAGGUGCGGGUAUCGAACAGGAUUAGAUACCCUGGUAGUCCGCACAGUAAACGAUGGAUGCCCGCUGUUAGCGCCUGGCGUUAGCGGCUAAGCGAAAGCAUUAAGCAUCCCACCUGGGGAGUACGCCGGCAACGGUGAAACUCAAAGGAAUUGACGGGGGCCCGCMCAAGCGGAGGAACAUGUGGUUUAAUUCGAUGAUACGCGAGGAACCUUACCCGGGCUUGAAUUGCAGAGGAAUUAUUUAGAGAUA